This 254-nucleotide ribosomal RNA is filed under the name uncultured bacterium. Its description in RNAcentral is "partial 16S ribosomal RNA". It matches the Rfam family "Bacterial small subunit ribosomal RNA", at positions 524 to 776 of the family's 1533-position model. The record is from RNAcentral.
UACGUAGGGUGCGAGCGUUGUCCGGAAUUAUUGGGCGUAAAGAGCUCGUAGGCGGUGUGUCACGUCGGCCGUGAAAACCUGCAGCUUAACUGUGGGCGUGCGGUCGAUACGGGCAUCACUGGAGUUCGGCAGGGGAGACUGGAAUUCCUGGUGUAGCGGUGAAAUGCGCAGAUAUCAGGAGGAACACCGGUGGCGAAGGCGGGUCUCUGGGCCGAUACUGACGCUGAGGCGCGAAAGCGUGGGGAGCAAACAGG